RNAcentral lists this ribosomal RNA (467 nucleotides) under uncultured bacterium. RNAcentral describes it as "partial 16S ribosomal RNA". It matches the Rfam family "Bacterial small subunit ribosomal RNA", at positions 29 to 507 of the family's 1533-position model. The record is from RNAcentral.
ACGAACGCUGGCGGCGUGCUUCACCCCUGCCCGUCGAACGGAAAGGCCCUGCUUUUGUGGGGUGCUCGAGUGGCGAACGGGUGAGUAACACGUGAGUAACCUGCCCUUGACUUUGGGAUAACUUCAGGAAACUGGGGCUAAUACCGGAUAGGAGCUCCUGCUGCAUGGUGGGGGUUGGAAAGUUUCGGCGGUUGGGGAUGGACUCGCGGCUUAUCAGCUUGUUGGUGGGGUAGUGGCUUACCAAGGCUUUGACGGGUAGCCGGCCUGGGAGGGUGACCGGCCACAUUGGGACUGAGAUACGGCCCAGACUCCUACGGGAGGCAGCAGUGGGGAAUAUUGCACAAUGGGCGGAAGCCUGAUGCAGCAACGCCGCGUGCGGGAUGACGGCCUUCGGGUUGUAAACCGCUUUCGCCUGUGACGAAGCGUGAGUGACGGUAAUGGGUAAAGAAGCACCGGCUAACUACGUG